GUUGUAUGGUUAAGUGACUAAGCGUACACGGUGGAUGCCUGGGCAGUCAGAGGCGAUGAAGGACGUACUAACUUGCGAUAAGCGCAGAUAAGGCAGUAAGAGCCGUUUGAGUCUGCGAUUUCCGAAUGGGGAAACCCAACUGCAUAAGCAGUUACUGUUAACUGAAUACAUAGGUUAACAGAGCAAACCGGGGGAACUGAAACAUCUAAGUACCCCGAGGAGAAGAAAUCAACCGAGAUUCCGGUAGUAGCGGCGAGCGAACCUGGAUUAGCCCUUAAGCACUCGGUGAAGUAGGUGAACAAGCUGGAAAGCUUGGCGAUACAGGGUGAUAGCCCCGUAACCGACGCUUCAUCGAGCGUGAAAUCGAGUAGGGCGGGACACGUGAUAUCCUGUCUGAAUAUGGGGGGACCAUCCUCCAAGGCUAAAUACUCCUGACUGACCGAUAGUGAACCAGUACCGUGAGGGAAAGGCGAAAAGAACCCCUGUGAGGGGAGUGAAAUAGAACCUGAAACCGUGUACGUACAAGCAGUAGGAGCACCUUCGUGGUGUGACUGCGUACCUUUUGUAUAAUGGGUCAGCGACUUAUAUUCAGUGGCAAGGUUAACCGUAUAGGGGAGCCGUAGCGAAAGCGAGUCUUAACUGGGCGCUCAGUCUCUGGAUAUAGACCCGAAACCGGGUGAUCUAGCCAUGGGCAGGUUGAAGGUUGAGUAACAUCAACUGGAGGACCGAACCGACUAAUGUUGAAAAAUUAGCGGAUGACUUGUGGCUAGGGGUGAAAGGCCAAUCAAACUCGGAGAUAGCUGGUUCUCCCCGAAAGCUAUUUAGGUAGCGCCUCGGACGAAUACUACUGGGGGUAGAGCACUGUUAAGGCUAGGGGGUCAUCCCGACUUACCAACCCUUUGCAAACUCCGAAUACCAGUAAGUACUAUCCGGGAGACACACGGCGGGUGCUAACGUCCGUCGUGGAGAGGGAAACAACCCAGACCGCCAGCUAAGGUCCCAAAGUAUUGCUAAGUGGGAAACGAUGUGGGAAGGCUCAGACAGCUAGGAUGUUGGCUUAGAAGCAGCCAUCAUUUAAAGAAAGCGUAAUAGCUCACUAGUCGAGUCGGCCUGCGCGGAAGAUGUAACGGGGCUAAGCAAUACACCGAAGCUGCGGCAAUGAAGUUUACUUCAUUGGGUAGGGGAGCGUUCUGUAAGCCGUUGAAGGUGAAUCGUAAGGUUUGCUGGAGGUAUCAGAAGUGCGAAUGCUGACAUGAGUAACGACAAGGGGGGUGAAAAACCUCCCCGCCGGAAGACCAAGGGUUCCUGUCCAACGUUAAUCGGGGCAGGGUGAGUCGACCCCUAAGGCGAGGCCGAAAGGCGUAGUCGAUGGGAAACGGGUUAAUAUUCCCGUACUCAAUCAAAUUGCGAU
This 1411-nucleotide ribosomal RNA is filed under the name Vibrio metoecus. RNAcentral's name for it is "bacterial LSU rRNA". It matches the Rfam family "Bacterial large subunit ribosomal RNA", at positions 1 to 1460 of the family's 2925-position model. The record is from RNAcentral. Lineage: Bacteria; Pseudomonadati; Pseudomonadota; Gammaproteobacteria; Vibrionales; Vibrionaceae.